RNAcentral lists this long non-coding RNA (865 nucleotides) under Brachypodium distachyon (stiff brome). RNAcentral's name for it is "long non-coding RNA (BDIS_LNC005270)". The record is from RNAcentral. Lineage: Eukaryota; Viridiplantae; Streptophyta; Magnoliopsida; Poales; Poaceae.
GACGACCGAUGAUCCGGCCGGCCGGCCGGCCGGGGAUGGAGUUGAUGAGCUUAGUAGCGUGGAUCGGAGAAGGCCAUGCAUGGAGCUGGCCUAGCUAGCUAGCUCCUCGGCUUAGGCAAAGACUAGCUUGGCUAGCUAUAACUAGGAAACGGGAGGGAUAGGUGUGCCCAUGUCGGUGGACAAUGUGUGUAUAUAGGGCAGAGGCACAUCGCGCGCGCUGGCUCGUUUCCUCCGGCCGGCGCCUUCUACUUCUAGCAAUAACCCCCCUCUUUUCCCAUGUACGGCCAACAACAACGACCAUAUUAAUCAGAUAAAGAAAUACAGUAGUCAAGUUUUUUUUUUAACUUGCAAUCAACGCUGCUUCAGCCUUUUAGAUGAAGUGGCUGCUUCAGCUCUUAGCUGUCAAGUUUGGAGAUAUCAGAAAACGUCGAUUCAAUUUUUUGUAUUUUUUUAAGAAAUUUCUUUGAUGGCUUGAAUUCUCUUGUUUUUAGAACCUUGGGUGAGUAGGGUGUUCAUGUAAUUCGUAAAGAAUUAGAGAAUUCAAAAUUUCUUUGAUUGCUUGAAUUCUCUUUUUUUACACGAACACUGGGUUCUUUUAAUGUGGAAAACUAUUUUGAAUUCUCAUUUCUUAUUUCCUUUAUGGUAUUUUGAUCAGGUUUUCCUUUCUAACUUAAAUGGGAGAGCUGCUUCUGUUCAUGUGCCAAAACAAUGUUGUGCCACCCAGUUUGAAUUCCAGUCUUUGAACUUGAAAUUUUCUAACUGCAACUCUUUUUUUAGGUGGGUAAUUGAAUCUUUGGGAAAUAAAAUUUGGAACACCAAACCUUUUACUCCAAUAGUUUGAACUUUAACCUUUAUAUUGUUCAUG